GUAUCCUGCGCUAGGAGUCCGAUCCUCCUCGAGGGA
RNAcentral lists this small RNA (36 nucleotides) under Sinorhizobium meliloti 2011. Its description in RNAcentral is "putative ncRNA". Lineage: Bacteria; Pseudomonadati; Pseudomonadota; Alphaproteobacteria; Hyphomicrobiales; Rhizobiaceae. The record is from RNAcentral.